This 377-nucleotide unclassified non-coding RNA is filed under the name uncultured Simkaniaceae bacterium. RNAcentral describes it as "contains 16S-23S intergenic spacer region". The record is from RNAcentral. Lineage: Bacteria; Pseudomonadati; Chlamydiota; Chlamydiia; Parachlamydiales; Simkaniaceae.
UCCUAGUUAACCUAGGCAGUCUCAUUAGAGUCCCCACCUCGCGUGUUGGCAACUAAUGAUAAGGGUUGCGCUCGUUGCGGGACUUAACCCAACACCUCACGGCACGAGCUGACGACAGCCAUGCAGCACCUAUACAGCGGCCCUUUCGAGCGAUAUCAUCUCUGCUAUCUUCCCCUGUACUUCUAACCUGGGUAAGGUUCUUCGCGUUGCAUCGAAUUAAACCACAUGCUCCACUGCUUGUGCGGGCCCCCGUCAAUUCUUUUGAGUUUCACCCUUGCGAGCGUACUCCUCAGGCGGUAUACUUAACGCGUUAGCUCCGACACAGCCAGGGUUGAGCCCGGCUACAUCAAGUAUACAUCGUUUACGGCAAGGACUAC